RNAcentral lists this ribosomal RNA (701 nucleotides) under uncultured bacterium. RNAcentral's name for it is "bacterial SSU rRNA". It matches the Rfam family "Bacterial small subunit ribosomal RNA", at positions 62 to 762 of the family's 1533-position model. The record is from RNAcentral.
UCGAACGAAGCACCUGAGAAUGAUUCUUCGGAUGAAGUCUCUUGUGACUGAGUGGCGGACGGGUGAGUAACGCGUGGGUAACCUGCCUCACACAGGGGGAUAACAGUUGGAAACGACCGCUAAUACCGCAUAACCCGCUGGUGCCGCAUGGCACUGACGGAAAAGAUUUUAUCGGUGUGAGAUGGACCCGCGUCUGAUUAGCCAGUUGGCAGGGUAACGGCCUACCAAAGCGACGAUCAGUAGCCGGCCUGAGAGGGUGAACGGCCACAUUGGGACUGAGACACGGCCCAGACUCCUGCGGGAGGCAGCAGUGGGGAAUAUUGCACAAUGGGGGAAACCCUGAUGCAGCGACGCCGCGUGAGUGAAGAAGUAUUUCGGUAUGUAAAGCUCUAUCAGCAGGGAAGAAAAUGACGGUACCUGACUAAGAAGCCCCGGCUAACUACGUGCCAACAGCCGCGGUAAUACGUAGGGGGCAAGCGUUAUCCGGAUUUACUGGGUGUAAAGGGAGCGUAGACGGUGAUGCAAGUCAGAAGUGAAAGCCCGGGGCUCAACUCCGGGACUGCUUUUGAAACUGUGUGACUGGAGUGCAGGAGAGGUAAGCGGAAUUCCUGGUGUAGCGGUGAAAUGCGUAGAUAUCUUGAGAAACACCAGUGGCGAAGGCGGCUUACUGGACUGUAACUGACGUUGAGGCUCGAAAGCGU